ACACCUCAACUCUUCAUGGUUUUCCAUGAUGAGCUUGGACUUUGGGGGGUUUUGCUGGCCUACAGUCAGCUCCUCUAAAAUAAAUCAGCUUGCCAGUGUUUGGUGGGUAUCGCAGGUGUGAUAACUAUCUACGCUUGUGGUUUUUCCACCAGGUAACCUUCAGCAGUGGAGGUUCACUGGAGCUCACAGACGUGUCUCUCCUCAGUGAGGACAACCCUUUGAAU
This 224-nucleotide unclassified non-coding RNA is filed under the name uncultured Tomentella. RNAcentral describes it as "sequence contains ITS2". The record is from RNAcentral. Lineage: Eukaryota; Fungi; Basidiomycota; Agaricomycetes; Thelephorales; Thelephoraceae.